Molecule: ribosomal RNA, 234 nt
Filed under: Triticum aestivum (bread wheat)
Lineage: Eukaryota; Viridiplantae; Streptophyta; Magnoliopsida; Poales; Poaceae
Description: partial small subunit ribosomal RNA
Source: RNAcentral
AUGUGGUAUAUUCGUAGGGGAGUUGUGCUAACGAAAGACAACCUUGCACGACGCAACUGGCCAGGAAGUAAGUAGUGUUGCUUUUGCGCUCAUGACGAGAUAAUCAAGCACCUCUUUUUCCUAUGCAAGUUUUCACGUUCUACAUGGUCAGUCAUCCAAAUAGCGUCAAAUUUGUAUCCGCCCACAAGUGUUGCCAAUAUUAUUUGGUCAUUAGUUGGACCGUAUUUCAAAUAA